Molecule: ribosomal RNA, 487 nt
Filed under: uncultured bacterium
Lineage: Bacteria
Description: bacterial SSU rRNA
Rfam family: Bacterial small subunit ribosomal RNA
Source: RNAcentral
GAUGAACGCUAGCGGGAGGCUUAACACAUGCAAGUUGAGGGGCAGCAUAGGGUAGCAAUACCCUGAUGGCGACCGGCAGACGGGUGAGUAACGCGUAUGUAACCUACCCUGUACAGGGGGAUAACCCGGAGAAAUUCGGACUAAUAUCCCAUAGUAAUAUCCGGAGGCAUCUUUGGAUAUUUAAAGUUCCGGCGGUACGGGAUGGGCAUGCGUAACAUUAACUGGUUGGUAAGGUAACGGCCUACCAAGGCUAUGAUGUUUAGGGGUCCUGAGAGGGUGAUCCCCCACACUGGUACUGAGACACGGACCAGACUCCUACGGGAGGCAGCAGUGAGGAAUAUUGGUCAAUGGGCGCAAGCCUGAACCAGCCAUCCCGCGUGCAGGAAGACGGCCCUAUGGGUUGUAAACUGCUUUUCCAGGGAGAGAAACCUGCGCACGUGUUGCGCAAUUGACGGUACCCUGGGAAUAAGCAUCGGCUAACUCCGUG